RNAcentral lists this long non-coding RNA (4325 nucleotides) under Homo sapiens (human). Its description in RNAcentral is "non-protein coding SNHG21:17". The stretch from base 3062 to 3188 matches the Rfam family "Small Cajal body specific RNA 15". The record is from RNAcentral. Lineage: Eukaryota; Metazoa; Chordata; Mammalia; Primates; Hominidae.
GAGUUUGAGACCAGCCUGGGGCAACAGGGCAAAACCCCAUCUCUACAAAACUGCACCCAGCUAUUUUGUAUUAUUUUUAUCUCGUUGCUUUUUUUUUUUUUCUUUUUCUUUCUUUCUUUUUUUUUUUUAGUGGUUUCAGGCAGUGGUUCAGACCAGCUGCUAGAGAAUCAUGGGCUAAGAAGAGAAGACUACCAAUUUAGUAGAUUUGGACAUGGACAAGCCACAGGCAGUUUCUCUUCUCACUCUCUUGGCCAGUCAUCUCUUGCUCACCUUCCCCUGCCAGUAGCCAGUAGCAUGUGACAGCCUCUAUAUUCCAUCUCCCUUUUCUCCCUCUUCCAGAACUAAGAUGAGUUUUCAAUGGAUAACUGUACAGAAACAUACCCACUGCUGAGUUUAUAAUAAAUAGGUAAAUGGUGUUUAAAAUGCCUUCUGUAGGAAUCCUUGGUAGAUAGUUAUAUGUGGUUGUUUUUUGGGAAGUUGGCUUGAGGUUCUUUGAAGGGCUGGGAACGUGUAUUUCUUUUGCGUGUGCCUGUGUGUGUCAAAAUUUUAUAUGUUCAUCAGUGCUCUACACGUUCAGAGAAACGUUUCCAAUAACGAACCAUAGAAUGAUCCCUGGAGCAUAGGAUCCCACUGUUUGAAAAUUCUAGCCAUCGAUCACUUUAUAAGAAAAGGAUGAAAUUUCAAACAAGGAGUUUGUUUAUCUGAUUUCCACCCUACAGAUAAUAUAUAAAUUUGGCCAAAGUUGUUUGGGGAAGAGGGGCUGUUGUUAGGUACUGAGCUAUAAUACUUUGUUGCUUUGUAUCACUUUUAAAAGUGACUUUUAAAGAUACUUGACAUUUGAAAAGGAAUCACCUUUGAUCUUUCUAAGUCCCUAAUUUGACAUUACCUUUAUAGCAUAUAAUUUAUUCCAUAAAGUCUUAGAUCCUGAAACUAGUGGAAAGCCAAAUACUCAUGUUGUGCUAUAAAUAUAGGAUUGACAGUUAAGCUUACUCAGUAGUCAAGGGGGCGGCUUUCACUCACCAGCCUCCAGGGCAUAUGAACCAAAUUUAUGAUUCAGAACAUUUAAAAUAUACAUUUUGAAGAUCUUUGGGCUCUCUUAAGUAUAGUCUAACUAUAAUAAAUAUUAAACAUGUCAAAGGUCUCUUGCAGUGUUGGGAAGAGCAUUCUAAACCACAUACAUCUUUCCCAUCCCCAGAUUGUUCUGUGUCCCCUCCCACUCUUCCCAGAUUAGAAGUCACCAUGGAGCACUAUUAGUAAUGGGACUCUGUAUCAGAUCUUUAAGGUGUAUUGGGACAGAAGAAAGGUUGAUAUUUUGGGGUUGUUUGUUUUUUUUGAGACGGAGUUUUCACUCUUGUUGCCCAGGCUGGAGUGCUAUGGCGUGAUCUUGGCUCACUACAAUCUCCGCCUCCCUGGUUCAAGCAAUUCUCCUGCCUCAGCCUCCUGAGUAGCUGGGAUUACAUGCGCCCACCACCAUGCCCGGCUAAUUUUUGUAUUUUUAGUAGAGACGGGGUUUCAUCAUGUUGGCUAGGCUGGUCUCGAACUCCUGACCUCAGGUGAUCUGCCUGUCUUGGCCUCCCAAAAUGUUGGGAUUACAGGUGUGAGCCACCAUGCCCAGCAGGUUCAUAUUUUUAAUGUUUCCUUCUACUCCCCAAGCACACACAAAUUUGAAAGCUGCUUUGCUUUCUAAUAAAGAGGCUUUUCCUUUGAUUUUGGAAGAUAAUUUGAUGUCUCUUUUCUCUUUGCAGGUAUAUGAGCUCCCUGAAAGCACAAAGCAGUUAUUUCCAUCUUCAGAUCAUUCAGAGAUUAUGAAGGCACAAACCCUGCCUUCAAUUUGCUUAUAGUCAAGUGGAGCAGACACAAGUCAAUGAUUGCAGUAUAGCCACUGAAGUAAUCUAAAAGAGGUGAGUGUGGCACUUAACCUCUCCUGGGAGGGGGAGGAAUAAGGCAGUGUUUCCAAGAGGUGAUUUUGGAGCUAUACAGGCAUUAGGUAGACAAGGAAGGGGAGGUCCAUUCUGGGUGCCUAGGACUCUGUGGCUGAUUUAUAAAUCGUAAAUGGUACAAAAAACAGUGUUGAGUAUCUUUUACCUUUCUCCAGAGUACUGUUCUUACUUUUGGAUAGUGCUUCUUGUUUUUUCCUUCCCUCUCCCUGUCCCUGUCACCUUUAAAUUAAAUGAAUGUUUGGAAGGAAGUAGGAGGGUAAGAAUCUUUCUGGGUGGCAGAAUAAUAGAUGGGUCUACCAAGAGCGAUGUAUAUACCCAGUAAAGCCAUCUCUAAAACUGUGUUUCUGCAUUGUUACAGUGCAUAGUUGGGAAAUCUCAGUUUUGUUGGCUGUGUACUUUCCCAGUGAAUGGAUUAUAUUCCUUUCUGCGAGCCAGUCUGUUUGAAUUUAAGGGCAUCUCUUAAAUUCCUUUCAAGCAAGAGACCUAACAUUUAUACUUAGGAAUGAGAGUAGUAGAGACAGCAAGAUUAGAAUCCAAGUUCAUAUACCAAAACAUUUUUAUUUGCUAUGUCUGAGUGACUACAUGUUGUUUGAAUCAACUGCAGGCUAAUUUGUAACAUUUCAAAUAAAUGAUAGUUUAAUUCCUCCAGGAUUUGAGUAAGGUGAAAAUAGAGCUAAAAACCAUGAUUCUGUCACAGUCUGGGAAAAUGAAAAAGCAAUCAAUUAGUGAGUUGGGCUUAAUUUUUUUUUUUUUUUUUUCUGGAACUGGUGAUAGCAGAAAACAAGCAGUAAAGUAGUCAGACAUGAUAUACUUGACAAGAACCACCACCUGUUCAGUAGCAACUCUAAAAUAAGUACUAACUUAGGGGCAGUUGUUGUGCCCAGGUCAUAGUCAUACUCCUUCCAGGAGACUUCCUGAUGACAGAAAAGAUGCUGACCAGCUGGGGUCUUCUUUCCAAAUAACUUUUCUCUUGCAUUUAGAUUAAUUAACCAUUGGUUACAGUGAAACAAGCAUAUGUACAGAGUUAAUCUCCUAUAGCUUGAAGUUAUACAUGAUCUUUAUUUGAGUAUCUUGACUUGUUAAAGGACAGUGUUUUAAAAGCUGGAUUUGGUUAUGUUCUUCUGGAGACUAAGAAAAUAGAGUCCUUGAAAUCAAGCUGACUCUGCUUUUAGCCUCCUAAAUGAAAAGGUAGAUAGAACAGGUCUUGUUUGCAAAAUAAAUUCAAGACCUACUUAUCUACCAACAGCAAUUACACGCUUUCCAUUGUCUUCCUAUAGAAAAUAGGAGUAGUACACUUAUAGAUGAGAAAACUGGAGAAAGACAUAGUGAACAUGUGAGAAUCUUGCUCUACUAAUUGAUAGGAAGGUGACUAGAAAUUGGCGAAGUUUUCUUGGUAAGUUGAGGAGAGGACUUUUCUUAUAGUGCAGUCUGGUAGCUGAACCGCCUUGCAUCAAGACCAAUGUAGUCUUAUUUACAGAAUGCCACAUCACAGUGAAUUGUGCUGUGGACAGCUUCCAGUGUGUGAGUUGUGGAAGAUGAUGAUUUUAACAGAUUUUGGAGGAUGAGAAGUAUUAAGAAGAAGGCCCCACUGUCCAUGCAUUUGCUCUGCUUUUUACUUUUGACCAAGUAUACACUUCAGAAAUAUCUUAUUGGAUGUAUACAAAGUGAUUGUGUGUCAUUUGAACCAGCAGGAAGUAAUUUAUUAAACACACUUUUCUAAAUAAAAGUCAUUUAAUUUUAUCAGAAAUCAGUGUCAUUUUAGAUUGCAAGUCUCAAACCAACUUUCCAAUUCUGACUUGUAAGGGUGCCUUAAAUCCUGAAUACUGUACUCUGUAUUACUAAACCCAUGUUAGUUUACGCCAAGAUUCUGUGGUGGUUUUACAUAUUCUUUUUCCCCUUUGUUAAGGUGGGGAGGCCACAGCUUAUGUGAAUGACUUUCUCAGGAGUUAUAAAGUGAUACAGGUAAAGCUAAGAAAAGAACAGAUUUUGAUAACUUUUGUUUUAACUGUCCAGUGUUAGGGAUUGUGGCUACAGUGGUCUAAUUUUUAAAAACUCUUUUUUUUGCUUUGUUUUUUAACAGACUUAUCAGCAGGUUGCAGGUGAACAUGGCCUUGAGGUAAAUCUGUCCCUUGCUGAAUACAGUUUCAGUAGAUUGUUUAUAGUAGUUUCAGGAAUUGAGAUUUUUUACAAAAAUACAAAAGUUUUGCUUGGUUCUGUUCUAGAUGUUUUCUUCUAAAUAAAUGAGAAAGAUGUUUCAACAAAGGCUCUUUAUGCUGAAUAAUUGUGAUGCUUGAAGUUGCUAAUCUGCUUUAAGUGGAUUUUAAAUGUCAGGCAAUUCUAGACAGUUUUUUCUUGGUCAAAUAAAAAUUUAAUUAAAACUUUAUA